RNAcentral lists this ribosomal RNA (883 nucleotides) under uncultured archaeon. RNAcentral's name for it is "bacterial SSU rRNA". It matches the Rfam family "Archaeal small subunit ribosomal RNA", at positions 1 to 866 of the family's 1478-position model. The record is from RNAcentral.
UCCGGUUGAUCCCGCCGGACCCCACUGCUAUCGGGGUAGGACUAAGACAUGCUAGUCGAGUGAUUCAGGCAAAGCGAGUCACGGCACACAGCUCAGUAACACGUGGCUAAUCUGCCCUUAGGACGAGAACAACCCCGGGAAACUGGGGCUAACUCUCGAUAGGCGAAGAACUCUGGAAUGAGUCUUUACCUAAAUAGUGCAACGUUAUCCUCGUUGCAUCGCCUAAGGAUGAGGCCGCGACCGAUCAGGUUGUUGGCGAGGUAAUGGCUCACCAAGCCUUUUACCGGUGCGGGCCGUGAGAGCGGGAGCCCGGAGAUGGGCACUGAGACAAGGGCCCAGGCCCUACGGGGCGCAGCAGUCGCGAAAACUUUGCAAUAAGCGAAAGCUUGACAGGGCUAUCCCGAGUGCCAUCCGCUGAGGAAGGCUUUUACCCAGUCUAGAACGCUGGGGGAAUAAGGAGAGGGCAAGUCUGGUGUCAGCCGCCGCGGUAAUACCAGCUCUCCGAGUGGUGUGGAUGUUUAUUGGGCCUAAAGCAUCCGUAGCUGGCUAGGUCAGUCCCUUGUUAAAUCCACCGAAUUAAUCGUGGAUUGCGGGGGAUACUGCUUGGCUAGGGGACGAGAGAGGCAGACGGUAUUUUCGGGGUAGGGUGAAAUCCUAUAAUCCCGGGAGAACCACCAGUGGGGAAGGCUGUGUGCUAGAACGCGCCCGACGGUGAGGGAUGAAAGCAGGGGGGAGCGAACCGGAUUAGAUACCGGGGGUAGUCCCAGCUGUAACCGAUGCAGACUCGGUGAUGAAUUGGCAUUAUGCCAAUUCAGUGCCGCAGGGAAGCCGUUAAGUUUGCCGCUUGGGGAGCACGGUCGAAGGCUUGAACUUAAAAGGGAUU